GACGAACGCUGGCGGCGUGCUUAACACAUGCAAGUCGAACGGAAAGGCCCUGCUUUUGUGGGGUGCUCGAGUGGCGAACGGGUGAGUAACACGUGAGUAACCUGCCCUUGACUUUGGGAUAACUUCAGGAAACUGGGGCUACUACCGGAUAGGAGCUCCUGCUGCAUGGUGGGGGUUGGAAAGUUUCGGCGGUUGGGGAUGGACUCGCGGCUUAUCAGCUUGUUGGUGGGGUAGUGGCUUACCAAGGCAUUGACGGGUAGCCGGCCUGAGAGGGUGACCGGCCACAUUGGGACUGAGAUACGGCCCAGACUCCUACGGGAGGCAGCAGUGGGGAGUAUUGCACAAUGGGCGGAAGCCUGAUGCAGCAACGCCGCGUGCGGGAUGACGGCCUUCGGGUUGUAAACCGCUUUCGCCUGUGACGAAGCGUGAGUGACGGUAAUGGGUAAAGAAGCACCGGCUAACUACGUG
Molecule: ribosomal RNA, 468 nt
Filed under: uncultured bacterium
Lineage: Bacteria
Description: partial 16S ribosomal RNA
Rfam family: Bacterial small subunit ribosomal RNA
Source: RNAcentral